AUGGAGCACCGACAAGGCAGGGAUGACCAUGAAGGGGUGCAGGUUGUUGGAUUUGAAGUCCCAUCAUCACCAGACUCAAGCUACAGCAACCCUAUCCCUGGAAACAAAGACGAAGCUCGAGAGCCCCCAUUGGUUCCUCCUCACCUACAGCAUAUACUGCUGAGCUUCCCGCCGAGCCAUGACGACGGGAGAAGCCUCCAUCUGCCCUCACCUACUCUAUAUUGCAGCUUGCAGCAUCCGAUGAGAAACCAAGGUCUGCAUCAUGGAGGUCUAAAUGUUAGAGAUAGAUCCUUGGUCGAGGAACUCUUUUCAAACAACAAGAUUCAGGUAUUGAUAUGCACUAGCACACUGGCUUGGGGUGUCAAUCUUCCAUCUCACCUUUUCAUAAUCAAGGGUACUGAAUACUAUGGUGAGAAAACAAAAAGAUAUGUUGAUUAUGUUAUCACAGAUAUUCUGCAAAUGAUGGGUCGUGCAGGCCGACCACAGUAUGACCAACAUGGCAAAGUUGUUAUUCUUGUUCAUGAACCACAGCUUUUAUAA
This 540-nucleotide ribosomal RNA is filed under the name Triticum aestivum (bread wheat). RNAcentral describes it as "partial small subunit ribosomal RNA". Lineage: Eukaryota; Viridiplantae; Streptophyta; Magnoliopsida; Poales; Poaceae. The record is from RNAcentral.